AGAAUAACACUCGUGCGCAUGCGUUGGACGAAUGAAGCACAUGGAGCCUGAAAUCGAAGUACAUUUUUUAAUAACUUAAUCGUAGUUUUAAUUAUUAAGUGUGCAGAAUAUUUGCUAGUACGUGAUUUUUUCUGGCUUUUGCUAGUUGACUCAUUUGCAUAAUUCACCAGACCAUGGUCUCAUUACAAUGAUGUAAUGAUAAUGAAUAUUCAUUGUCAGACACUACAAAAAUCAGGACCAAUUUUAUUAUUAAUGCUGUUUGCUAGUUGACUCAUUUUCAGUGAGGCUAUGUGUGGCAGGCCGCACAGCAGCGACUGUAGUACAUGGUAACCAACUACUGCCUCUUUAGACUGACAAGGUCCAGAAUCGAAUGAACAUUUUAAAGAUAGUGGACAAAAAACGAAAACCGAGGAUAGUGGUUACGUAAUACAUCCUGCACCAUACUGGCUGUGUGGACAUGUUCAUAAGCGCCCCUACCGUUCUUGUCCUGAAGUAAAAUGUAUGAUUUCAUUGCUAGAUGUGGCUUCAAGAUGAUUUAAGAUUCAUGAUAAUGAUUGCGAUAUGAAGAGAAGAGUUGACUAAGAGAUACAAGAAACUAAUGUCUUAAACAAAAUUCAACCACAAAGAAAAAUAUAUUUUGUAUUUUAUGAUUAAAAAUGAAGUCAUCGCUCUGUUAACUCCACCUAGCGAGAACUGUGAACCAAUCUGCAAGAAGCCGAGAUGCUUUUUCUGAUUUAUUUUAAGUGAAGACAAUAUCUUUAAUAAUUCAAAUACAUAACUGAUUGAUAAUUUAGAUAGGCCUAUGGUAUUGUAUUGUAUUGAUAAAUUAGUGCUGUAUAUGAUAAAUUAGAUAGGCCUAUGGUAUUGUAUUGUAUUGAUAAAUUAGAUAGGCCUAUGGUAUAUGUAUUAAUAAAUUUAUGCUGUAUGCCGGCAAACAAAGAAGGGUACAGAGGCAAGAAGACUGGAGGUAAGUGGGUUGGUUAUUUACUCAAAGAUCUUAUAACAAGACAGCGCACUUGCCGUUUGUAAGCGUAAUGUAUUAGACUUUCAUGGGACUGCACAAUAUGUAAAGCUCAAUAGGUUUUUGACUAUUUGUACGCAUAAUGAAUUUGAAAACUCCAUGUGACUACACGCUCGUAACAACUAAAACCUAAUUAAAGUGACCUGCGAGUUUGUUAUAAGAUCUUUGAUCCUCCAAGUAAGAUGAGGGUGCCUUCAUCUUAACUAGAGGGCGGUAUCUAUUACAUUAAAUAGUGCUUCUAAAUAAAAUGGGGGCGCUAUUUAAUGCAAGAGAUGCUGCCCUCUAGUUAAGGUGAGGCCCUUCAUUUUAACUAGAGGGCAGUAUCUAUUGUAUUAAAUAGCACCCCUAAAUAAAAUGAGGGCGCUAUUUAAUGCAUGAGAUACUGCCCUCUAGUUAAGGUGAAGGGCCCUCAUUUUAACUAGAGGGCAGUAUUUAUUGCAUUAAAUAGCACCCCUAAAUAAAAUGAGGGUGCUAUUUAAUGCAUGAGAUACUGCCCUCUAUGGAAAAUGAGGGCGCCCUCAUUUUAACUAGGGGGCAGUAUCGCAUUAAGUAGCGCCUCUAAAUAAAGUGAGGGCGCUAUUUAAUGCAACCUAGUUUUGUUUAGAGGUGGUAUUCGGGUUGGUGAUGAAAACAAUGAUGCAAGGAACAAAUAAAGACAAGAAUUU
This 1686-nucleotide long non-coding RNA is filed under the name Anneissia japonica. RNAcentral's name for it is "uncharacterized LOC117117582, transcript variant X7". Lineage: Eukaryota; Metazoa; Echinodermata; Crinoidea; Comatulida; Comatulidae. The record is from RNAcentral.